UGACAACUUGUGCAUCUCCUUCAACCGUAAUCUUCUUGAAGCCUUUUGCUCUAGGAAGGAAAAUGGCUUCUCGACAUGCCAUGCAUUUAAGAACAAGUGAACUCGUCACAUUAUGGAAGACUUUGCAUAUCCAGCCGUAAGGGUAUCCUUGGUGAGAUUAUGUGUGUGGCCAAAUGCUAAUCCUCUUGAAAUUAAGGGAGAGCAUUUCGGUUGGUUUCGAUUCUAAAUUGAAUCAAAUUUGAAAAACUGAAAAACUAAACUCAUAUAAAAUGCUAACCAAAAUCGAAUCAAAUUG
Molecule: unclassified non-coding RNA, 295 nt
Filed under: Hevea brasiliensis (rubber tree)
Lineage: Eukaryota; Viridiplantae; Streptophyta; Magnoliopsida; Malpighiales; Euphorbiaceae
Source: RNAcentral